RNAcentral lists this unclassified non-coding RNA (1850 nucleotides) under Hevea brasiliensis (rubber tree). The record is from RNAcentral. Lineage: Eukaryota; Viridiplantae; Streptophyta; Magnoliopsida; Malpighiales; Euphorbiaceae.
CGAGACGGUAGGACGCUAAUUGACACUGAUACACAGCAACUCAUCGUAUAAAAGCCAAGGUUCCAUCCCUCUAACGCGCCUGGUUUCGGUUGUUGCCUCUACUUCCUGCGCAAGUUACGGAAUCUGACGUUCUUCUCUUUUCUGCAAUGGCUAGGAACGGCGUCGUUUCCAUGCAUUGGAGGUCGGAGAAGAUCGAUGGCUUUGAUCUCUCACCUCCUGAUGAUGAACAAGUACACGUUUUAGCAGUGGAUGAUAGUCUAGUUGAUCGUAAAGUCAUUGAACGUUUGCUCAAAAUCUCAUGUUGCAAAGUGACUGCAGUGGAUAGUGGAAUUAGAGCUCUGCAAUUCCUGGGAUUAGAUGAAGAGAAGAGCUCGUCUGUUGGUUUCGAUGUGAGUGAACUGAACUUCUAUUAUUUUUCACUUAAUUGAGCUCAAUUGUGCCUUCUCAUUUGAUCCUCCAAUUUAUUCUCCUCUUCUGAUUGCUUAGUUGUUUAUGGUUUCAGGACUUGAAGGUGGAUCUAAUUAUCACAGACUACUGCAUGCCUGGAAUGACUGGUUACGAGUUGCUCAAGAAAAUCAAGGUAUCAACAUUUAUCAAUUUCUCUGUUUUUAAACAGAAUUCUCAAGAGAGAACUGUUCCUGCCAUUUCAUUUUCUGUGCUAAGCAGGAAUCGUCCACUUUCAGAGAAAUUCCGGUAGUGAUAAUGUCAUCGGAGAACGUCAUGGCUCGAAUCGACCGUUUAACAGGUGUUUGGAGGAAGGAGCAGAGGACUUUAUAGUAAAACCGGUGAAAUUAUCAGACGUGAAACGAUUAAGAGAUUACAUGACCGCCAGAGAGUUCAGAGUGAAGAACCAACAAAUAGGCAACAACAACAACAUCAAGAACAACAAUAAGAGGAGGUUAAGAGAGACUUGCGAUCUCUCUUCAUCGCCACUGUCCAUGUUAUUUUCAUCAUCAUCACCAUCGCCUUCACUUUCACCAUCAUCUCUAUCUUCUCCAUCGUCUCCAUCGCCCUGUCUAUCACCGUUACCAUCACCGCCGAUACUGUCAUAUUCGGCGCCUUGUUCUCCCACUUCCUUAGAUUCUCCUACCAGACGGCUGAAAAUGAGCAGCUCCGAUUAGAUCCUUUAUUCCCUCAUCAAAACCAACUAUUUUUAUUUACUUUACAAAUUAAAAAAAAAAAAAUUUUGCAAUGUCAGCAAUUCUCCGUUAAUUUAACGGUUUUUGUUGCUUUUUUGCUCUAGCCUUUUUUAGUGCAUUUGUUUAUGUCGUUGAUUAGUACGAUAUUAAAUUUGAAUACUCGAUUAAUCAGCUAAUCAAAACGAUGAAGAUGAAUGAAGUGGGUUUGCGUUUAGGAAAUGGACAAAUGGCAAAUGUAAAAUGGGGUUGUGCUUGCGCAGGUUGUCUGCUAGAAGGAAUAUUUGGAAUGGGAUUGUGUUUGUGGAUGAUUUGUUGGGGAUGUUCGCUUGAGAAGAAGGGGCUGGGUGGUGUGGGGUAUUGGGUGGAACCACAGCCUUUGUCUGGUUGUCUCUCCUAAGAGAACUAGUAUACUUUGCCUUUGCUCUGCUAUCAAGGGGCCUAAUAAUCUUGGUUUGUGCGUUGGACCCCUACAUGAAAGAGAGAUGUGGGGUGGUGGAACAAAUUGUGAGUUGCUUGAAGAAAAGGUUAUUUAUUUCCUAGCCAACCAAGUGGGCUUUUUUGGUUUGAUCCUUGCGUUUAACUGCUAGUUCUAGCAUUUAACUUUCUUUUCAGUUUUUUUUUUUGAACUUCGUUUCGGUUUACAAGAUGCAAGUAAAAAGAAAUUAAUUAGCAUUUAAUGCAUUCUAGUUCACAAGAUACGUAAAGAUUUUC